Molecule: ribosomal RNA, 468 nt
Filed under: uncultured bacterium
Lineage: Bacteria
Description: partial 16S ribosomal RNA
Rfam family: Bacterial small subunit ribosomal RNA
Source: RNAcentral
GACGAACGCUGGCGGCGUGCUUAACACAUGCAAGUCGAACGGAAAGGCCCUGCGUUUGUGGGGUGCUCGAGGGGCGAACGGGGGAGUAACACGUGAGUAACCUGCCCUUGACUUUGGGAUAACUUCAGGAAACUGGGGCUAAUACCGUAUAGGAGCUCCUGCUGCAUGGUGGGGGUUGGAAAGUUUCGGCGGUUGGGGAUGGACUCGCGGCUUAUCAGCUUGUUGGUGGGGUAGGGGCUUACCAAGGCUUUGACGGGUAGCCGGCCUGGGAGGGUGACCGGCCACCUUGGGACUGAGAUACGGACCAGACUCCUACGGGAGACAGCAGUGGGGAAUAUUGCCCAAUGGGCGGACGCCUGAUGCAGCAACGCCGCGUGCGGGAUGACGGCCUUCGGGUUGUAAACCGCUUUCGCCUGUGACGAAGCGUGAGUGACGGUAAUGGGUAAAGAAGCACCGGCUAACUACGUG